RNAcentral lists this ribosomal RNA (492 nucleotides) under uncultured bacterium. RNAcentral describes it as "partial 16S ribosomal RNA". It matches the Rfam family "Bacterial small subunit ribosomal RNA", at positions 29 to 507 of the family's 1533-position model. The record is from RNAcentral.
AGUGAACGCUGGCGGUAGGCCUAACACAUGCAAGUCGAACGGCAGCACAGUAAGAGCUUGCUCUUACGGGUGGCGAGUGGCGGACGGGUGAGGUGUACAACGUACUCUACUUUUUCGUGGGGGAUAACGUAGGGAAACUUACGAUAAUAUAGCAUACGACCUACGGGUGUAAGCAGGGGAUCUUCGGACCUUGCGCGAUUGAAUGAGCCGAUGACGGGUUAGCUAGUUGGCGGGGUAAAGACCCACCAAGGCGACGAUCCGUAGCUGGUCGGAGAGGAAGGUCAGCCACACUGGAACGGAACCGCGCUCAAGACGCCUAAGGUAGGCAGCAGUGGGGAACAUGGGACAAUGGGGGGAAGCAUGGCCCAGCCAUACCGAGUCGGUGAAGAAAGCCUUCGGGUUGGAAAGCCCUUUUGUUGGUAAAGAACAGCAGCAGGGUAAGACCCCGCGGUACUGACGGUACCCAAUGAAUAAGCACCGGCUAACUUCGUG